GAUGAACGCUGGCGGCGUGCUUAACACAUGCAAGUCGAACGGUGAAGGCGGAGCUUGCUCUGCUGGAUCAGUGGCGAACGGGUGAGUAACACGUGAGCAAUCUGCCCCUGACUCUGGGAUAAGCGCUGGAAACGGCGUCUAAUACUGGAUACGAGCUGCAAAGGCAUCUUCAGCAGCUGGAAAGAAUUUCGGUCAGGGAUGAGCUCGCGGCCUAUCCGCUUGUUGGUGAGGUAAUGGCUCACCAAGGCGUCGACGGGUAGCCGGCCUGAGAGGGUGACCGGCCACACUGGGACUGAGACACGGCCCAGACUCCUACGGGAGGCAGCAGUGGGGAAUAUUGCACAAUGGGCGAAAGCCUGAUGCAGCAACGCCGCGUGAGGGACGACGGCCUUCGGGUUGUAAACCUCUUUUAGCAGGGAAGAAGCGAAAGUGACGGUACCUGCAGAAAAAGCGCCGGCUAACUACGUG
Molecule: ribosomal RNA, 468 nt
Filed under: uncultured bacterium
Lineage: Bacteria
Description: partial 16S ribosomal RNA
Rfam family: Bacterial small subunit ribosomal RNA
Source: RNAcentral